AGUUCCAGUCUUUGAAAAUGUAAGGGAUAGUUUCAUAGUCUCGCCCUGCCACAGUAAACAGCAUUGCUGUGGACAGUAGAAUCGGUUCAGCUUCCUGGUUUUGAUUUGUACUUAAAAGUGAAAUUGUUGGGUCAUAUGAUGAUUCUAUGUAGCUUUUGGGGAAACUACCAAAUUGUUUUGCAAGGCAGUGGAAACCCCCCUGAGGCAUUCAUCACCUGUGCGUUCACAUUUCUAUACCUCCUGGUCAGCAACUGCAGAAGAUUGUGGGGGAGUCCUGAAUGUUGAGAGAGAAACUCACCAAAGAACUUCCGGUGGUGUUCCAGCUGCUUCCUGUUACUUCAGUGGACUCAUGGUGGUCAACAGAUUCUCGAGGUUUCUUCUAGAUCAAGAUACUGAUGCUGAUUCCUGUUUGGUGUUUUGUUGGUGGUCUGGGCCGCUGACAGAGAUUGGAAUCACCCCAAAGAACUCCUUCUAAACAGAUAAGAAUUUGCUCAGCAAGCACCUGGGAUUCCUGGAACCCUCUCCAUGCAAAUGAGGUGUUCCCGGAACACUAAGCCUCAGCCAAUGAAACUUCACCCUAUGAAGCCUCAACCUAAGAACCCCUUCCCGCUCUCCAAGGUUCAUAUGCAGCCCUUGAUUCACCUGGAAUAAAGUGUAUGUGCACAAGCUGUCCCAUUGAA
Molecule: long non-coding RNA, 680 nt
Organism: Rattus norvegicus (Norway rat)
Lineage: Eukaryota; Metazoa; Chordata; Mammalia; Rodentia; Muridae
Source: RefSeq, a predicted model, not a curated record